UACGUAGGGCGCAAGCGUUGUCCGGAAUUAUUGGGCGUAAAGAGCUCGUAGGCGGUUUGUCACGUCGGCUGUGAAAACCCGAGGCUCAACCUCGGGCCUGCAGUCGAUACGGGCAGACUAGAGUGCUGUAGGGGAGACUGGAAUUCCUGGUGUAGCGGUGAAAUGCGCAGAUAUCAGGAGGAACACCGGUGGCGAAGGCGGGUCUCUGGACAGUUCCUGACGCUGAGGCACGAAGGUCAGGGGAGCAAACGGG
RNAcentral lists this ribosomal RNA (253 nucleotides) under uncultured bacterium. Its description in RNAcentral is "partial 16S ribosomal RNA". It matches the Rfam family "Bacterial small subunit ribosomal RNA", at positions 524 to 776 of the family's 1533-position model. The record is from RNAcentral.